UACAGAGGGGGCAAGCGUUGUUCGGAAUUACUGGGCGUAAAGGGCGCGUAGGCGGCCUGCUAAGUCGAACGUGAAAUCCCUGGGCUCAACCCAGGAACUGCGUCCGAUACUGGUUGGCUUGAAUCCGGGAGAGGGAUGUGGAAUUCCAGGUGUAGCGGUGAAAUGCGUAGAUAUCUGGAGGAACACCGAUGGCGAAGGCAGCCUCCUGGGCCAGCACUGACGCUCAUGCACGAAAGCGUGGGGAGCAAACAGG
RNAcentral lists this ribosomal RNA (253 nucleotides) under uncultured bacterium. Its description in RNAcentral is "partial 16S ribosomal RNA". It matches the Rfam family "Bacterial small subunit ribosomal RNA", at positions 524 to 776 of the family's 1533-position model. The record is from RNAcentral.